RNAcentral lists this ribosomal RNA (425 nucleotides) under uncultured bacterium. RNAcentral's name for it is "partial 16S ribosomal RNA". It matches the Rfam family "Bacterial small subunit ribosomal RNA", at positions 354 to 796 of the family's 1533-position model. The record is from RNAcentral.
GUGGGGAAUAUUGGGCAAUGGGGGAAACCCUGACCCAGCAACGCCGCGUGAAGGAAGAAGGUCUUCGGAUCGUAAACUUCUAUCCUUGGUGAAGAUAAUGACGGUAGCCGAGAAGGAAGCCCCGGCUAACUACGUGCCAGCAGCCGCGGUAAUACGUAGGGGGCAAGCGUUGUCCGGAAUGAUUGGGCGUAAAGGGCGCGUAGGCGGCCUGGUAAGUCUGGAGUGAAAGUCCUGCUUUUAAGGUAGGAAUUGCUUUGGAUACUGUCGGGCUUGAGUGCAGGAGAGGUAAGUGGAAUUCCCGGUGUAGCGGUGAAAUGCGUAGAGAUCGGGAGGAACACCAGUGGCGAAGGCGACUUACUGGACUGUAACUGACGCUGAGGCGCGAAAGUGUGGGGAGCAAACAGGAUUAGAAACCCUAGUAGUCC